UUGUUAAAAUUUAUUCGAAAUAUAAGGAAGACGAUUUUUCCGACUCAAAUGCCGUAGACUUUUCCCUAGACGUAUGCGUACUCAAGAUCUAUUUCCUCCACGUAGUGCCCGCAUGUCAAACCCCGCUUCUUCUCCCCCCCCCUUUCUACAGAUCCCAGCCCCAGCAGUCAGCUAUGAAAACUCAAGACAUUAACAACUCCGUCUCAACCCUGGCUCCUCCAUGAUGAUGAUUCAGAUACAGAACCAACAACAGAAGACACUGCUUACACCUAGCUCCGCGCUCCACAAAGUUCCAGAGAUCCGGGCGGAACCAGACUUCCUUCCAUUAUCCUGUAUACAGGAUAAGUCCGCAAUCUCUCCCUCCCACAGGAGAAGGUAACAAUAGUUCGCUCCGCAAUGUUCCAGAGAUCCGGGCGGAACCAGACUUCCUUCCAUUAUCCUGUAUACAGGAUAAGUCCGCAAUCUCUCCCUCCCACAGGAGAAGGUAACAAUAGUUCGCUCCGCAAUGUUCCAGAGAUCCGGGCGGAACCAGACUUCCUUCCAUUAUCCUGUAUACAGGAUAAGUCCGCAAUCUCUCCCUCCCACAGGAGAAGACUAAGCCUAGUUGUGAGUAAGCCUGCCGUCAAGAUUGAUGAUCUGCACCACCAUCAUGAAGUUCUA
Eurytemora carolleeae is the source of this 660-nucleotide long non-coding RNA. RefSeq lists it as uncharacterized. NCBI's taxonomy places the organism in Eukaryota, Metazoa, Arthropoda, Copepoda, Calanoida, Temoridae. The transcript is spliced from 2 exons. The record is from RefSeq and is a predicted model, not a curated record.